This 87-nucleotide unclassified non-coding RNA is filed under the name Pseudomonas brenneri. The record is from RNAcentral. Lineage: Bacteria; Pseudomonadati; Pseudomonadota; Gammaproteobacteria; Pseudomonadales; Pseudomonadaceae.
UGUGGGAGCGGGCUUGCCCGCGAUGCGGGCACCUCGGUGUAUCAGUUACACCGCAGUGAUGCUAUCGCGAGCAAGCUCGCUCCCACA